Molecule: ribosomal RNA, 468 nt
Filed under: uncultured bacterium
Lineage: Bacteria
Description: partial 16S ribosomal RNA
Rfam family: Bacterial small subunit ribosomal RNA
Source: RNAcentral
GACGAACGCUGGCGGCGUGCUUAACACAUGCAAGUCGAACGGAAAGGCCCUGCUUUUGUGGGGUGCUCGAGUGGCGCACGGGUGAGUAACCCGUGAGUAACCUGCCCUUGACUUUGGGAUAACUUCAGGAAACUGGGGCUACUACCGGAUAGGAGCUCCUGCUGCAUGGUGGGGGUUGGACGUUUUCGGCGGUUGGGGAUGUACUCGCGGGUUAUCAGCUUGUUGGUGGGGUAGUGGCUUACCAAGGCGUCGACGGGUAGCCGGCCUGAGAGGGUGAGCGGCGACACAGGGACUGAGGUAAGGCACAGACUGCUACGGGAGGCAGCAGGGGGGAAUAUUGAACCAUGGGCGGAAGGCGUAUGCAGAAACGCCGCGUGCGGGAUGACGGCCUUCGGGUUGUAAACCGCUUGCGCCUGUGACGAAGCGUGAGUGACGGUAAUGGGUAAAGAAGCACCGGCUAACUACGUG